Perognathus longimembris pacificus (Pacific pocket mouse) is the source of this 1021-nucleotide long non-coding RNA. RefSeq lists it as uncharacterized. The record is from RefSeq and is a predicted model, not a curated record. The transcript is spliced from 3 exons. Lineage: Eukaryota; Metazoa; Chordata; Mammalia; Rodentia; Heteromyidae.
AGAGUGUUAGCCACUUUCUCUGAUUUCUGAUUUUAUGAUAUGUCAUCCUGAUGUUUUCUGAGAAUAUGGGACAAAUGGCUGGACAUUCAACAUUUUUUUAAAUUGGUCAUAAGUUAGAGUUAAAAAAUUAACUCAGGAACAAAGCAUUCAGAUUAAGGAGUUGGAAUCAUUUCCUAAAACUUUGAAUUUUAAUAACAUUGAUCAAGGUAGAUUGUAUUCAUAAACUGCUUUGUAAAAAGGCAUCUCCUUUGUACAACUACUUAAACAUAAAAAAAAUUUAAGAAUCACAGUGUCUUUUUCCCUUCAAUGCAGGGAUCUAACUCAGUAAGUACUCUCCUUCCAUGAAGUUAAAUUCAUUUCACAUCGGGAAAGUGGCAGAAAUAAGGAUAAUUCAUCCUUAGGGGUCCUCUAACCAGAGCCAUCCUGGUGUAUGAACAGGGCAUUCCCCAAACACCCAUUCAGGAAUUAUUGAUGGCGUACUCAUUCCAUGCCACAUGCUAUUUUGUAUUUAACAUCCAGUGAAGAGCAAGUUUAUAGAAAACAAUAAAAGCAGUAACUAUUAUUCUAACAACAACAAUAACAGCAGUGAGUGCUUCUUAGGUAUGGACACUAUUCUCACUGGGUGUCCAUGUUGAUAAUUAGUUCUCAUCCAACCCUAUGAGACAGAUACUCUUUCUCUUCAUGUAACUGAUGAAAUUGAGACACAGAAUGGCUUUAUACAGUAAGCCACUUUACUCAUGGAUUUACUACUCAUGUUUUUGACCAAACAUGUUCAAAGAACAUUUUUUUAAUUAAAAAGGAAUUAAAACAAAAGUUAUAUAGCCCUGCUGAUGUGGAAAAGACCCUAGUCUUGUGUUAUGAUGAAACAUCUGUAGUACAGUACUCAACUCUCUGCAUUCUAAGCUUUCAUGGUUUUUCCUUACUGGCUCUCUCCUUGGUACCAUAUAGCUGUGAUAGAUAGCAAGGGUGAACUGUUAUGUCUCAUGGACAUAAAGACUAAAUACUAAGAGACAGAAGCUAG